Molecule: ribosomal RNA, 120 nt
Filed under: Propithecus coquereli (Coquerel's sifaka)
Lineage: Eukaryota; Metazoa; Chordata; Mammalia; Primates; Indriidae
Source: RNAcentral
GUCUACAGCCAUACCAUUCUGAAUGUGCCUGAUCUUGUCUGAUCUCGUGAAGCUAAGCAGCGUUGGGCGUGGUUAGCACUUGGAUGGGAGGCUGCCUGGGAAGACUGGGUGCUGUAGGCU